RNAcentral lists this ribosomal RNA (310 nucleotides) under Bacillus toyonensis. RNAcentral's name for it is "bacterial SSU rRNA". It matches the Rfam family "Bacterial small subunit ribosomal RNA", at positions 1 to 298 of the family's 1533-position model. The record is from RNAcentral. RNAcentral also lists the same sequence under 2 other names. Lineage: Bacteria; Bacillati; Bacillota; Bacilli; Caryophanales; Bacillaceae.
UUUAUUGGAGAGUUUGAUCCUGGCUCAGGAUGAACGCUGGCGGCGUGCCUAAUACAUGCAAGUCGAGCGAAUGGAUUGAGAGCUUGCUCUCAAGAAGUUAGCGGCGGACGGGUGAGUAACACGUGGGUAACCUGCCCAUAAGACUGGGAUAACUCCGGGAAACCGGGGCUAAUACCGGAUAAUAUUUUGAACUGCAUGGUUCGAAAUUGAAAGGCGGCUUCGGCUGUCACUUAUGGAUGGACCCGCGUCGCAUUAGCUAGUUGGUGAGGUAACGGCUCACCAAGGCAACGAUGCGUAGCCGACCUGAGAG